UGGAGAAUUUUGCACAAUGGGGGAAGCCCUGAUGCAGCGACGCCGCGUGAUUUAGAAGGCCUUCGGGUUGUAAAAAUCUUUUCUAUGGGAAGAAAAUGACAGUACCAUAGGAAUAAGGACCGGCUAAUUACGUGCCAGCAGCCGCGGUAAUACGUAAGGUCCGAGCGUUGUCUGGAAUCAUUGGGCGUAAAGGGUACGUAGGCGGGUAAGCAAGUUAGAAGUGAAAUCCUAUAGCUCAACUAUAGUAAGCUUUUAAAACUGCUCAUCUUGAGGUAUGGAAGGGAAAGUGGAAUUCCUAGUGUAGCGGUGAAAUGCGCAGAUAUUAGGAGGAAUACCGGUGGCGAAGGCGACUUUCUGGCCAUAACCUGACGCUGAGGUACGAAAGCGUGGGUGGCAAACAGG
RNAcentral lists this ribosomal RNA (402 nucleotides) under bacterium. Its description in RNAcentral is "partial 16S ribosomal RNA". It matches the Rfam family "Bacterial small subunit ribosomal RNA", at positions 355 to 776 of the family's 1533-position model. The record is from RNAcentral.